AUUGAACGCUGGCGGCAUGCCUUACACAUGCAAGUCGAACGGUAACAGGUCUUCGGAUGCUGACGAGUGGCGAACGGGUGAGUAAUACAUCGGAACGUGCCCAGACGUGGGGGAUAACGAGGCGAAAGCUUUGCUAAUACCGCAUACGAUCUAAGGAUGAAAGCAGGGGACCGCAAGGCCUUGUGCGUUUGGAGCGGCCGAUGGCAGAUUAGGUAGUUGUGGGAUAAAAGCUUACCAAGCCGACGAUCUGUAGCUGGUCUGAGAGGACGACCAGCCACACUGGGACUGAGACACGGCCCAGACUCCUACGGGAGGCAGCAGUGGGGAAUUUUGGACAAUGGGCGAAAGCCUGAUCCAGCAAUGCCGCGUGCAGGAUGAAGGCCUUCGGGUUGUAAACUGCUUUUGUACGGAACGAAAAGGCUCUGGCUAAUACCUGGGGCACAUGACGGUACCGUAAGAAUAAACACCGGCUAACUACGU
This 480-nucleotide ribosomal RNA is filed under the name uncultured bacterium. Its description in RNAcentral is "partial 16S ribosomal RNA". It matches the Rfam family "Bacterial small subunit ribosomal RNA", at positions 30 to 506 of the family's 1533-position model. The record is from RNAcentral.